GUGCCAGCAGCCGCGGUAAUACCGGCAGCCCGAGUGAUGGCCGAUAUUAUUGGGCCUAAAGCGUCCGUAGCUGGCCGGGGAAGUCCGUCGGGAAAUCCACUCGCUCAACGAGUGGGCGUCCAACGGAAACUGCACAGCUUGGGACCGGAAGGCUCGAAGGGUACGUUCGGGGUAGGAGUGAAAUCCCAUAAUCCCGCACGAACCACCGAUGGCGAAAGCACUUCGAGAAAACGGAUCCGACAGUGAGGGACGAAAGCCAGGGUCUCCAACCGGAUUAGAUACCCGAGUAGUCC
Molecule: ribosomal RNA, 293 nt
Filed under: uncultured bacterium
Lineage: Bacteria
Description: partial 16S ribosomal RNA
Rfam family: Archaeal small subunit ribosomal RNA
Source: RNAcentral